GAUUCCUUGGUCUAGUUGGUUAUGACAUUCGCCUAACACGCGAAAGGUGCCGAGUUCGAUCCUCGGAGGAAUCA
Non-coding RNA from Chloropicon primus, 74 nucleotides. The record is from the annotation of a GenBank genome assembly. Lineage: Eukaryota; Viridiplantae; Chlorophyta; Chloropicophyceae; Chloropicales; Chloropicaceae.